CAGUUCACACGUUCGAUCAACACUUCUAUACAAACAUUACUAUCGUGUGUACGUCGGAUUUCUUCGGCAAACUCGCGUAGGAUUUAUAAAUAAUAAUAAUAAUAUGUACCCGUAGAGGAGUACCCGCGUUCGCUCUGUUGUCCGUUCGGUUUUUACCGUAUUGUAGGUACGCGAGUUGAUUGAUUAUUCAUUUUAUACGCCCGGUAGAAAAGGUAAGUAGGUACCUAACUAUUUAUUUGAUUUGCCGGCGUGGCGCGUACAGUAUGGUUUCCCUCGUAGGAAAUCG
This is a non-coding RNA of Cinara cedri, 286 nucleotides long. NCBI's taxonomy places the organism in Eukaryota, Metazoa, Arthropoda, Insecta, Hemiptera, Aphididae. The record is from the annotation of a GenBank genome assembly.